UACAGGAAAAGUGCCCAGAUGCCUGGAGCCUU
Molecule: non-coding RNA, 32 nt
Filed under: Mus musculus (house mouse)
Lineage: Eukaryota; Metazoa; Chordata; Mammalia; Rodentia; Muridae
Source: RNAcentral